RNAcentral lists this ribosomal RNA (536 nucleotides) under uncultured bacterium. RNAcentral's name for it is "bacterial SSU rRNA". It matches the Rfam family "Bacterial small subunit ribosomal RNA", at positions 777 to 1310 of the family's 1533-position model. The record is from RNAcentral.
AAUAGAUACCCUGGUAGUCCACGCCCUAAACUAUGUCGACUGGUUGUUGGGGGGAGUCUGUCCCUCAGUAACGUAGCUAACGCGUGAAGUCGACCGCCUGGGGAGUACGGUCGCAAGAUUAAAACUCAAAGGAAUUGACGGGGGACCCGCACAAGCGGUGGAUUAUGUGGAUUAAUUCGAUGCAACGCGAAGAACCUUACCUACCCUUGACAUGCCAGGAACCUCGCAGAGAUGUGAGGGUGCCCGAAAGGGAACCUGGACACAGGCGCUGCAUGGCUGUCGUCAGCUCGUGUCGUGAGAUGUUGGGUUAAGUCCCGCAACGAGCGCAACCCUUGCCAUUAGUUGCUACAUUCAGUUGGGCACUCUAAUGGGACUGCCGGUGACAAACCGGAGGAAGGUGGGGAUGACGUCAAGUCCUCAUGGCCCUUAUGGGUAGGGCUUCACACGUAAUACAAUGGCGCAUACAGAGGGCUGCAAACCCGCGAGGGGGAGCCGAAUCCCAAAAAGUGCGUCGUAGUCCGGAUUGUUCUCUGCAA